AUUGAACGCUGGCGGCAGGCCUAACACAUGCAAGUCGAACGAGUGGCGCACGGGUGAGUAAUGUCUGGGAAACUGCCCGAUGGAGGGGGAUAACUACGGGAAACGGAAGCUAAAACCGCAUACCAUCGGAUGUGCCUAGACGGGAUUAGCUUGUAGUUGGGGUAACGGCUCACCUAGGCGACGACCCCGAGCUGGUCCGAGAGGAUGACCAGCCACACUGGAACUGAGACACGGUCCAGACUCCUACGGGAGGCAGCAUUGGGGAUGAUUGCACAAUGGGCGCAGGCCGGAUACAGCCAGGCCGCGUGUAUGAAGAAGGCCUUCGGUUUGUAAAGUACUUUCAUCGGGGAGGCGUUACUCGCAGAAGAAGCACCGGCUAACUCCGUGCCAGCAGCCGCGGUAAUUC
This 406-nucleotide ribosomal RNA is filed under the name uncultured bacterium. Its description in RNAcentral is "partial 16S ribosomal RNA". It matches the Rfam family "Bacterial small subunit ribosomal RNA", at positions 30 to 526 of the family's 1533-position model. The record is from RNAcentral.